Long non-coding RNA from Octopus sinensis (East Asian common octopus), 148 nucleotides. RefSeq lists it as uncharacterized. The transcript has 3 exons. Lineage: Eukaryota; Metazoa; Mollusca; Cephalopoda; Octopoda; Octopodidae. The record is from RefSeq and is a predicted model, not a curated record.
UUAUGCAUUUACUAGCAGGGUGGACUGCAGCAACGUGAAAUUAAGUGUUUUUCUCAAGAAUACAAUGCAUCACCCAGUCCAGGAAUCGGAACCACAAUGUUACAAUCAUGAGGGCAACACCCUGACCACUAACCUACGCGUCUCUACC